AGUGAACGCUGGCGGUAGGCCUAACACAUGCAAGUCGAACGGCAGCACAGUGAGAGCUUGCGCUUACGGGUGGCGAGUGGCGGGAGGGUGAGGUAUGUAUCGGAAUCUACUUUUUCGGGGGGGAUAACGUAGGGAAAGCUACGCUAGUACCGCAUACGACGUACGGGUGAAGGCAGGGGAUCUUUGGACCUGUCGCGAUUGAAUGAGCCGAUGUCGGAUUAGCUAGUUGGCGGGGUAAAGGCCCACCAAGGCGACGAUCCGUAGCUGGUCUGAGAGGCUGAUCAGCCACAUUGGAACUGAGACACGGUCCAGACUCCUGCGGGAGGCCGCAGUGGGGAAUAUUGGACAAUGGGCGCAAGCCUGAUCCAGCCAUACCGAGUGGGUGAAGAAGGCGCUCGGGUUGUAAAGCCCUUUUGUUGGGAAAGAAAAGCAGCAGGUUAAUACCCCGCUGUUCUGACGGUACCCAAAGAAUAAGCACCGGCUAACUUCGUG
This 492-nucleotide ribosomal RNA is filed under the name uncultured bacterium. Its description in RNAcentral is "partial 16S ribosomal RNA". It matches the Rfam family "Bacterial small subunit ribosomal RNA", at positions 29 to 507 of the family's 1533-position model. The record is from RNAcentral.